RNAcentral lists this ribosomal RNA (253 nucleotides) under uncultured bacterium. Its description in RNAcentral is "partial 16S ribosomal RNA". It matches the Rfam family "Bacterial small subunit ribosomal RNA", at positions 524 to 776 of the family's 1533-position model. The record is from RNAcentral.
UACAGAGGUCCCAAGCGUUGUUCGGAUUUAUUGGGCGUAAAGGGUGCGUAGGCGGCGGAGUAAGUUGGGUGUGAAAUCCCGGGGCUCAACCUCGGAAUUGCAUUCAAUACUGCUUCGCUCGAAUACUGGAGAGGAGACUGGAAUUUACGGUGUAGCAGUGAAAUGCGUAGAUAUCGUAAGGAAGGCCGGUGGCGAAAGCGAGUCUCUGGACAGUUACUGACGCUGAUGCACGAAGGCCAGGGGAGCAAACGGG